GUAGAUAAACAAAAAUCUGAUGCUGUUAGAACAGAAUCUAUUCUUUUGGACAUUAAGGGGCGCACAUAUUGGAGAUUAAAAGGAUAUUCUGAUUAUUCUAAUGUUCUGCUUCAAGAUGUGGGAACCUGGGAUGCAGUUCAGUCAGGUGAAAAAUGGUUCACCUUUGAUGUUGAACAGGAAAAAGAAAUUGAAAAACACAUUUGUUCUUUAAGGAAAAGAAGGUUAUGGUCUCAAAAAAAUUAUUGAUGGGCUUCAUCUAAAACUACUGAAGAGGAAAUGAUUUUGUAACUAAUCCACCACCUUAAGUCAGUGCAAUCAAGGGCAGAUAGACAGACGGCAAUGAAAAUGAUCAGCGGACUUUUGGCUUCAACCGUAUCUACUCAGAAGGGUUCAA
Camellia sinensis is the source of this 394-nucleotide non-coding RNA. NCBI's taxonomy places the organism in Eukaryota, Viridiplantae, Streptophyta, Magnoliopsida, Ericales, Theaceae. The record is from RefSeq and is a predicted model, not a curated record.